RNAcentral lists this unclassified non-coding RNA (969 nucleotides) under Hevea brasiliensis (rubber tree). The record is from RNAcentral. Lineage: Eukaryota; Viridiplantae; Streptophyta; Magnoliopsida; Malpighiales; Euphorbiaceae.
AAUGGACAACCAGAUGCCAGAAAAAUACUAAAUUAGCUACCAAUCCCAACUACACAAGCCAAAAGUAAUAAUAUCCUCAUUUGAGUAAAAACUAAGAAGGAAAGAGGGUAGAGGAGGAUAAAAGAAAUCUCUAGGUGUUGACAAAGAAAAUCACAUAUAUAACUUACAUGGAACUAAAAAUAAUAUUUAACCAAUCCUAUAAGAAUCACAGACAAUCACUAAAAAGUAUUUUUAAAAUAAGAGGAAAAAUCCUUCAGUUAAAAAAACAUGCAUUUUUGUACAUAGGUAAGCAUUGAUAGAAGAGGAAGAAGAAACAAGUACAGUUAGGAAAAUAAGGCAUCCUCUAAAUUAUUUCAAGAACAAAAGAAGAGUCGACAUGAUAAGGCACUCUAAUCUCAUUGAGCAUCAGUAAUAGACAACCUUUGAAAACCACGCAGCAAAUGUCCAUAAGUCUUAAGACAGACUUACUGUGUGGAACAAUUUCUUGAUUGUGUCCAGGACUCUUACCACUGUACAAGACUAAAAUGUGACAGACAAGCACCUAGUAUAAACUCCUUAAAUAUUUCAUAAACUACAUAAUUUAAACUCCAUAAACAUUUUUUUAAAAAUCAUAAACCACAUAAAUUGUCGAAUUUAUAUUUUUUAAAUAUAAAAUAUCUUUUAUAUUUCAAACAGAUAUUGUACACCAAAACGUCUGACCUUCAAAUGCACUAAUUGCUACUGAAAUGUAUUGGUCUAUAGUUCAUUAGGUCUAAACAUAAUUGUAAAGCCAAAUGCAGCUAAUUACUGAUAGUAUGCUAUAUUUUGGUAUUAACAUGACACACGAGAAAAUCAAUAACAAGGCUCCUAUAGACGGUAACCUAAUUGUUCAUUCCAGUGUGACACCAUACAGACCACGUUAUAAUUUAUAAGCAACAGUAAGCAAUAAGUUACCUCUAAAAAGAACAACAAUUCGCAAAGAAAGUGGCA